UUGUACUUUCUUUGAAUUCAGUUGUAUUAAAAUGGAAAUGAUACAGAAAAGGUUAGCAUGGCUCUGUACAAAGGUGGUAUAAAAUUUUAUGAAGAGUACUAAAUUUUC
This is a small nuclear RNA of Ictidomys tridecemlineatus (thirteen-lined ground squirrel), 108 nucleotides long. Lineage: Eukaryota; Metazoa; Chordata; Mammalia; Rodentia; Sciuridae. The record is from Ensembl.